GGAUUGCAGGCUGAAACCCGCCUGUAUGAAGUUGGAAUCGCUAGUAAUCGCGGAUCAGCAUGCCGCGGUGAAUACGUUCCCGGGCCUUGUACACACCGCCCGUCACACCAUGAGAGUCGGGAACACCCGAAGUCCGUAGUCUAACCGCAAGGGGGACGCGGCCGAAGGUGGGUUCGAUAAUUGGGGUGAAGUCGUAACAAGGUAAC
RNAcentral lists this ribosomal RNA (206 nucleotides) under uncultured bacterium. RNAcentral's name for it is "partial 16S ribosomal RNA". It matches the Rfam family "Bacterial small subunit ribosomal RNA", at positions 1295 to 1500 of the family's 1533-position model. The record is from RNAcentral.